This 587-nucleotide ribosomal RNA is filed under the name uncultured cyanobacterium. Its description in RNAcentral is "bacterial SSU rRNA". It matches the Rfam family "Bacterial small subunit ribosomal RNA", at positions 79 to 700 of the family's 1533-position model. Lineage: Bacteria; Bacillati; Cyanobacteriota. The record is from RNAcentral.
CGGGCUCUUCGGAGUAGUGGCGGACGGGUGAGUAACGCGUGAGAAUCUGGCUUCAGGUUCGGGACAACAGUUGGAAACGGCUGCUAAUACCGGAUGUGCCUUAUGGUGAAAGAUUUAUCACCUGAAGAUGAGCUCGCGUCUGAUUAGCUAGUAGGUGUGGUAAGAGCGCACCUAGGCGACGAUCAGUAGCUGGUCUGAGAGGAUGAUCAGCCACACUGGGACUGAGACACGGCCCAGACUCCUACGGGAGGCAGCAGUGGGGAAUUUUCCGCAAUGGGCGAAAGCCUGACGGAGCAAUACCGCGUGAGGGAGGAAGGCUCUUGGGUUGUAAACCUCUUUUCUCAGGGAAGAAUAAAUGACGGUACCUGAGGAAUAAGCAUCGGCUAACUCCGUGCCAGCAGCCGCGGUAAUACGGAGGAUGCAAGCGUUAUCCGGAAUGAUUGGGCGUAAAGCGUCCGCAGGUGGCAAUGUAAGUCUGCUGUCAAAGCGUCUGGCUCAACCAGAUAAAGGCAGCGGAAACUACAUAGCUAGAGUAAGGUAGGGGUAGAGGGAAUUCCUGGUGUAGCGGUGAAAUGCGUAGAGAUCAG